UACGUAGGGGGCAAGCGUUAUCCGGAUUUACUGGGUGUAAAGGGAGCGUAGGCGGCUUAGUAAGUCAGAAGUGAAAGCCCGCAGCUCAACUGCGGGACUGCUUUUGAAACUGCCAGGCUAGAGUGUCGGAGAGGUAAGUGGAAUUCCUAGUGUAGCGGUGAAAUGCAUAGAUAUCACGCAGAACCCCGAUUGCGAAGGCAGCCUUCCGGCGCCCUACUGACGCUGAGGCACGAAAGUGCGGGGAUCGAACAGG
RNAcentral lists this ribosomal RNA (253 nucleotides) under uncultured bacterium. Its description in RNAcentral is "partial 16S ribosomal RNA". It matches the Rfam family "Bacterial small subunit ribosomal RNA", at positions 524 to 776 of the family's 1533-position model. The record is from RNAcentral.